Carcharodon carcharias (great white shark) is the source of this 136-nucleotide small nucleolar RNA. The record is from RefSeq and is a predicted model, not a curated record. Lineage: Eukaryota; Metazoa; Chordata; Chondrichthyes; Lamniformes; Lamnidae.
CCCUUCCUAAAAGCACUUACUUUGCCUGUUCUCCGUGGCUUAGCAAGAUGUCGUGGGAGGGCAGAGUAAUACAUUGCUUUUGGGUGAGGUGGCAGCUGCCAUGUGCUGUCCAAUCUCAAUCCGUGGUGUAACACUA